CGCUAAACCAUUCGUAGACGACCUGCUUC
RNAcentral lists this non-coding RNA (29 nucleotides) under Callithrix jacchus (white-tufted-ear marmoset). The record is from RNAcentral. RNAcentral also lists the same sequence under 4 other names. Lineage: Eukaryota; Metazoa; Chordata; Mammalia; Primates; Cebidae.